This 1621-nucleotide ribosomal RNA is filed under the name Salmonella enterica. Its description in RNAcentral is "partial 23S ribosomal RNA". It matches the Rfam family "Bacterial large subunit ribosomal RNA", at positions 1200 to 2802 of the family's 2925-position model. The record is from RNAcentral. Lineage: Bacteria; Pseudomonadati; Pseudomonadota; Gammaproteobacteria; Enterobacterales; Enterobacteriaceae. RNAcentral also lists the same sequence under 1 other name.
CUGCGGCAGCGACGCUGAUGCGUUGUUGGGUAGGGGAGCGUUCUGUAAGCCUGCGAAGGUGGCCUGUGAGGGUUGCUGGAGGUAUCAGAAGUGCGAAUGCUGACAUAAGUAACGAUAAAGCGGGUGAAAAGCCCGCUCGCCGGAAGACCAAGGGUUCCUGUCCAACGUUAAUCGGGGCAGGGUGAGUCGACCCCUAAGGCGAGGCCGAAAGGCGUAGUCGAUGGGAAACGGGUUAAUAUUCCCGUACUUGGUGUUACUGCGAAGGGGGGACGGAGAAGGCUAUGUUGGCCGGGCGACGGUUGUCCCGGUUUAAGCGUGUAGGUGUGUGUUCCAGGUAAAUCCGGUUCACUUUAACACUGAGGCGUGAUGACGAGGCACUACGGUGCUGAAGCAACAAAUGCCCUGCUUCCAGGAAAAGCCUCUAAGCAUCAGGUAACAUCAAAUCGUACCCCAAACCGACACAGGUGGUCAGGUAGAGAAUACCAAGGCGCUUGAGAGAACUCGGGUGAAGGAACUAGGCAAAAUGGUGCCGUAACUUCGGGAGAAGGCACGCUGACACGUAGGUGAAGUGAUUUACUCAUGGAGCUGAAGUCAGUCGAAGAUACCAGCUGGCUGCAACUGUUUAUUAAAAACACAGCACUGUGCAAACACGAAAGUGGACGUAUACGGUGUGACGCCUGCCCGGUGCCGGAAGGUUAAUUGAUGGGGUCAGCGCAAGCGAAGCUCCUGAUCGAAGCCCCGGUAAACGGCGGCCGUAACUAUAACGGUCCUAAGGUAGCGAAAUUCCUUGUCGGGUAAGUUCCGACCUGCACGAAUGGCGUAAUGAUGGCCAGGCUGUCUCCACCCGAGACUCAGUGAAAUUGAACUCGCUGUGAAGAUGCAGUGUACCCGCGGCAAGACGGAAAGACCCCGUGAACCUUUACUAUAGCUUGACACUGAACAUUGAGCCUUGAUGUGUAGGAUAGGUGGGAGGCUUUGAAGUGUGGACGCCAGUCUGCAUGGAGCCGGCCUUGAAAUACCACCCUUUAAUGUUUGAUGUUCUAACGUGGACCCGUGAUCCGGGUUGCGGACAGUGUCUGGUGGGUAGUUUGACUGGGGCGGUCUCCUCCUAAAGAGUAACGGAGGAGCACGAAGGUUGGCUAAUCCUGGUCGGACAUCAGGAGGUUAGUGCAAUGGCAUAAGCCAGCUUGACUGCGAGCGUGACGGCGCGAGCAGGUGCGAAAGCAGGUCAUAGUGAUCCGGUGGUUCUGAAUGGAAGGGCCAUCGCUCAACGGAUAAAAGGUACUCCGGGGAUAACAGGCUGAUACCGCCCAAGAGUUCAUAUCGACGGCGGUGUUUGGCACCUCGAUGUCGGCUCAUCACAUCCUGGGGCUGAAGUAGGUCCCAAGGGUAUGGCUGUUCGCCAUUUAAAGUGGUACGCGAGCUGGGUUUAGAACGUCGUGAGACAGUUCGGUCCCUAUCUGCCGUGGGCGCUGGAGAACUGAGGGGGGCUGCUCCUAGUACGAGAGGACCGGAGUGGACGCAUCACUGGUGUUCGGGUUGUCAUGCCAAUGGCACUGCCCGGUAGCUAAAUGCGGAAGAGAUAAGUGCUGAAAGCAUCUAAGCACGAAACUUGCCCCGA